AUGGCAAAAAAGUUCUUGACUAUACCAGCAACUAGUGUCUCAUCGGAGUCAACAUUCUCUACGAGUGGCAGAAUUCUCGAUGACUAUCGUAGCUCUCUCAGCCCAAACAUGGUUGAGGCACUUGUGUGUGCUUCUAGCUACAUCAAAGGAUCAAAAGCACACCAGCUUAAGACUACAAUUACAGUGGGAGAAGGCAAUGAUGACAAUGUCGAGUUCAUUCGAUUUCUUGAGAAGAUGAAAUGGAUGAACUGA
This 252-nucleotide ribosomal RNA is filed under the name Triticum aestivum (bread wheat). RNAcentral describes it as "partial small subunit ribosomal RNA". The record is from RNAcentral. Lineage: Eukaryota; Viridiplantae; Streptophyta; Magnoliopsida; Poales; Poaceae.